RNAcentral lists this ribosomal RNA (253 nucleotides) under uncultured bacterium. Its description in RNAcentral is "partial 16S ribosomal RNA". It matches the Rfam family "Bacterial small subunit ribosomal RNA", at positions 524 to 776 of the family's 1533-position model. The record is from RNAcentral.
UACGUAGGUGACAAGCGUUGUCCGGAUUUACUGGGCGUAAAGCGUGCGCAGGCGGUUUUGUAAGCCAGAUGUGAAAGCCCCGGGCUUAACCUGGGAAUGGCAUUUGGGACUGCAAGGCUGGAGUGUGGCAGAGGAGACUGGAAUUCCUGGUGUAGCAGUGAAAUGCGUAGAUAUCAGGAGGAAUACCGAUGGCGAAGGCAGGUCUCUGGGCUGACACUGACGCUCAUGCACGAAAGCGUGGGGAGCAAACAGG